AUUGAACGCUGGCGGCAUGCCUUACACAUGCAAGUCGAACGGCAGCACGGGAGCAAUCCUGGUGGCGAGUGGCGAACCGGUGAGUAAUAUAUCGGAACGUGCCCAGUUGUGGGGGAUAACGUAGCGAAAGCCACGCUAAUACCGCAUACGAUCUAUGGAUGAAAGCGGGGGAUCGCAAGACCUCGCGCGAUUGGAGCGGCCGAUAUCAGAUUAGGUAGUUGGUGAGGUAAAGGCUCACCAAGCCGACGAUCUGUAGCUGGUCUGAGAGGACGACGAGCCACACUGGGACUGAGACACGCCCCAGACUCCUACGGGAGGCAGCAGUGGGGAAUUUUGGACAAUGGGCGCAAGCCUGAUCCAGCAAUGCGGCGUGCAGGAUGAAGGCCUUCGGGUUGUAAACUGCUUUUGUACGGAGCGAAAAGGCUUCCACUAAUUCUGGGGGCUCAUGACGGUACCGUAAGAAUAAGCACCGGCUAACUACGUGCCAGCCGCCGCGGUAA
RNAcentral lists this ribosomal RNA (500 nucleotides) under uncultured bacterium. RNAcentral describes it as "partial 16S ribosomal RNA". It matches the Rfam family "Bacterial small subunit ribosomal RNA", at positions 30 to 523 of the family's 1533-position model. The record is from RNAcentral.